Heterocephalus glaber (naked mole-rat) is the source of this 79-nucleotide small nucleolar RNA. Its record names the gene SNORD83. It matches the Rfam family "Small nucleolar RNA SNORD83". Rfam says of the family: U83 (SNORD83) and U84 (SNORD84) are members of the C/D class of snoRNA which contain the C (UGAUGA) and D (CUGA) box motifs. They act as guanine methylation guides but lack complementarity to ribosomal RNA. The record is from Ensembl. NCBI's taxonomy places the organism in Eukaryota, Metazoa, Chordata, Mammalia, Rodentia, Bathyergidae.
ACCACAUGAUGCUUUCAUUUUGAGAAGUGAAUGUUUCAUGCAGUACUGGACAUUCAUCUAUCACCCUUGACUGAUGAAA